GCAUCUUAGUACUUGCCAGCAAGCGUUACCAUGACAACCGUUGCCCCGGCUGUGUGAAGCUUGUUGACAUCCUGCAAAGAUGACCUAGCUAGCUAGCAGCAGCAAUCUCGACAGACAUGGACGACGGCGCUCAACUGGGAGAAAUUGGGCCAGUUAAAAACGUUGCAAAAUCUGGUCGUAGGGCUCGUCCUGCUGCAGACCAGUCAUCACUUGGAGAUGUUCGUAACUCCAGGAAGUCUUCCACUUCUGCCUCAGCUGGAGAAGGCCCGCCUACUAAGCCCCCCAGGAGGCAGGGCGGCUGGGCAGAAGAAAGCUCUGGAUCAGGUGCUGGCAAAUCCUCAAGAAGAGCUGCUGCUGACGACCUGGAAGAUCGCCGACUGCGACCACAAACUCCCCAAGCAUCAGAUGAUGAUGGAGAUAUUCCUGUUAUUCCAGAUCUGGAUGAAGUGCAGGAAGAUGAUCUUAACAUGCAAGUAGCAGCUCCCCCGAGCGUUCAAGUCAACCGGGUGAUGACCUACAGAGACCUGGACAAUGAUCUGAAAUAUUAUUCUGCAUUCCAGACACUAGAUGGCGAAAUCGACUUGAAGCUCCUCACAAAGGUUCUAGCACCAGAGCAAGAGGUGAAAGAGGUGAGUGAUUUUUUUUUUUUUACUAAAUAUUGCCUCUGAGCUUCUAGCAAAGAACAGUCCAGCUGUUGUCCAGAGCAUCAGGGGAGGUUGCCACUCUUCCUCCCAGGAAGAUGUGCUCUGGGACUGGGAUCAUCUGUUUACAGAGGUGUCCUCGGAGCUGCUUAUGGAAUGGGAUCAGGGAGAGAGUGAAGAGCAAGCUUCAUAAUCUACAACAUGAGCAAAAUAUCUGGUCUGAAUGGCUCCAGUGGGAA
RNA transcript from Entelurus aequoreus (snake pipefish), 880 nucleotides. It is a transcript of the gene named intraflagellar transport protein 43 homolog A, with no coding region annotated. The transcript has 9 exons. The record is from RefSeq and is a predicted model, not a curated record. NCBI's taxonomy places the organism in Eukaryota, Metazoa, Chordata, Actinopteri, Syngnathiformes, Syngnathidae.